AAUGCAUUUUAAACGCACUGCCUUAAAGACUGACCAAUGGCUACAUCUACAACUGCUGGAAAACAAAUUAACUGAUACCAAACGAAUGAGUCUAGAUUUUCUGUCAAAAUGGCAAGUUAGGCUUAAGUAAGAUUAAAAUAAAUGUCAGUAUCAAGAGUACAAAAUCAAGUUGUCCAACCACGUAGAGUAACCCCCCUCCCUACGUAUUAGAGUUGACUUCCUGGAACCCUCACUGUAGAGGAAUCUGUGUUGGGGGGACUUAUGAGCCUCGGGGGGGGGGGGAUUACAGCAGGGAAGUGGGUGUUAUGACAGCCCAGACGCUUGGUCUGUUCACUGAAAUAAGACACUAAGUAAAGUGAAUCUUGUUGGUAUUUUACUAAUUUCACAUCAGUAACAGUGAUGACUGGGCAACCGAUUUCUGCUUCUCUCUGAUCUCAAAGUCAGGACAAUCAUGCGUCAGUGAAAACGCUGGUCAUCACAGUAGUGAUAGGGAAAGAAUCAAGACAAUUGGGUUUUGUCUGGAGAGAAGUAAGCUCAACCUUCCGUUCUACUUUCCUCUUCUAGCACUUGGAUCACCACAUCAUCAGAGCUGUUGGAGUCUGAAUCCCAAGGUUCAACUAUCUGUGUGUGGCCUUUCUGCCUGCUGUUUGUAGAAUGGGUUUGAAUGACAUGGCCCCAAGGUCCAGCCUCUUCUUCCCUGUUGAAGCAAACAGAGAGAAAGACUUAUUGGCCUUCAUUUAAAGGUUUCUUAUUACUGCUUUAUAGGGUUGUGGGUAAUCGUUUAAAUCUUGCCUUCAGGUCAAUAAAUAUUCCAUCGAAAGAUCUCUUUCCUCUGAAUCAUCACAGCAAUUUGACUUGUGGAACAGCUGCUCCUACAUCCUUUGAGUUCUGGAUGUUAACCUAUGCUGACCUGUGGUAUCAACUUUUGAUGUGAUCACAUCUCUGAAAAAGUUCUCAACUAUCUUCUGAGGGUGAGAAUCUAACACUUCAGCAAAAUGUCACUUAAAUCAAUGUCUUCAAAUCCUUCGCCACCCAAAUGUUUUGCAGAUGCUACAACCUCUUCAAUUUCAUCUGCCACUGGGAGAAAACUUUCAGAGUCCAUUGCAACCUCAUUCCCAAGUUUGUGCCAGGCUCCAUUAAGGGUUGCCUGUGUUAUUUCUCGCAUUGACUCUUCCACUAUUGUUAAAGCAUUACAAAUGGGGAAAUUUUGUCAAGCUACUUUCAGUCAGUUCUGGCGUCUCUCUCAUACGAUCUGCAAGUUAGGGUUUGGGGGCAAGUUUGGGAUUUGUGGAGUUAGUGUGGCGUGA
RNAcentral lists this long non-coding RNA (1307 nucleotides) under Felis catus (domestic cat). RNAcentral's name for it is "lncRNA (ENSFCAG00000049651.1)". Lineage: Eukaryota; Metazoa; Chordata; Mammalia; Carnivora; Felidae. The record is from RNAcentral.